RNAcentral lists this long non-coding RNA (3010 nucleotides) under Salmo salar (Atlantic salmon). RNAcentral's name for it is "lncRNA (ENSSSAG00000109625.1)". The record is from RNAcentral. Lineage: Eukaryota; Metazoa; Chordata; Actinopteri; Salmoniformes; Salmonidae.
CACAGAGGAGAGAGCCCACGCAGGGCGCAUUGUGUCGAGAUCAGCCCCUAGCGACGGUGUUAUAAGGAAUUCAAAACGAAGCACCCCUCUUCGCAAAAAUAUUGCUCGUGACAGGCGUUGCAUGCGCAAUGAACGGUUUUGCUGUUGAUUCCAAGUAGCCUACAGUAUAAAAUGAGUCCGCGUCAUUCCCUGACAUCUUCCUUCGAGAGAGGGCUGGAAUCUCAGGAUCAUCAAAGCGUGGGAUCAGGAUCGAUUGACAGAGUGGGUUCCCCUGGACACUUGUUAUCACAGCUCUCCAAAAGCUGCUGUGGUGAUGAAGAGAAGGGCCAUUGAUGAGACAAUAACUCCACAGUCCACCCAAAAGAGAGGUUUAGAAUCAGAACUGGCCAUAUCUAUAGCCUGGCCUUGAUUAGGGUUGAAUCUGUGACAAGUGCCUCACACUCCAAUAGAGAGAAUCAACCGCAGACUCAGUCCAAUAGAUAAUAUUCUUCUAAAAUUAGUUGCCACUGGCAACCCUUUAGCAGCAUAGACAGACCAACCUAAGCUGUGGUGAUGGAGAGGACCACUGCUGACCCCACUACAUCACCAAGUGACAGGUCAUUAAGACAGUUGGCUCAUCAAAAGCCUUUCCUAAUGGGGUAAUUGUAGAGAGGGAGUGAGUGUUGAGUGGUACUGCCUAAGCCUAUCAUGAAGUCAGUGACCGAGCGGUUUCCCUUGUAAUCAAACUGCUGAACCUACAUUUUUAAAUCAAAAUGUGUCCUAUCACGGGUCAUUAAAUGUUCAAGAAACGCUGACUGACAACCUCACCCAAAAUUGCCAAAUCCAUAUAAAUAAAUAAUCAAUCUUUGCAUGUGGAUUCUGUUUUUGGAAUUGAUAAUUGAAGCAGAUCACAAUCCCUACCAGUUUGUCAAUACACUCUGCUUCAGUGCACAAUUUAAAAAAAACAUUUUUAUUUCACCUUUAUUUCACCAGGUAGGCUAGUUGAGAACAAGUUCUCAUUUACAACUGCGACCUGGCCAAGAUAAAGCAAAGCAGUGUGACAUAGAUAACAUAGAGUUACACAUGGAGUAAACAAUAAACAAGCCAAUAACACAAUAAACAAGUCAAUGAUACAGCAGAAAAAAAGAAAGUCUAUAUACAGUGUGUGCAAAAGGCAUGAGGAGGUAGGCAAUAAAUAGGCCAUAGUAGCGAAGAAUUACAAUUUAUCAGAUUAACACUGGAGUGAUAAAUGAGCAGAUGAUGAUGUGCAAGUAGAGAUACUGGUGUGCAAAUGAGCAGAAAAGUAAAUAAAAUAAAAACAGUAUGGGGAUGAGGUAGGUAGAUUGGGUGGGCUAUUUACAGAUGGACUAUGUACAGCUGCAGCGAUCGGUUAGCAGCUCAGGUAGCUGAUGUUUAAAGUUGGUGAGAGAAAUAAAAGUCUCCAACUUCAGCAAUUUUUGCAAUUGAUGUCUUCAUCAUCCUGCUGUACGGUUGAGGCUGUUUGAUGGGAGGAAGCUGAGGAGUGAGCACAUGCAACACAGUCAGAUCGUAACAUAUCUCCCUGUCUUGUCACAUCACUGCAACUUAAGCUGUACUUAAACAGGUUGAACAUGAAUGUCAGGAGUCAGGACACAUGUCCCAUCAAGAGGAAUGCCUCAGGGUCAGAAGUUAAACUGACUUGGCUAGUUAAAUAAAGGUUCAAUAAAAUAAAAUAAACAUUUAACUAGGUUAGUUUUCUUGAGAUGAAAAUCCUUUUUUCAAGAGAGAUCUGUGGGUGCGAGGGGGCUCUUUGUUUGCAAACAGGGAUCUGUUGAAAAACACUCAGGGACAUGGUACCUGCUAGUUUUCUGGCGGGGCCAGAGGGAGUGUCAGAUAGCCAGCAGCUGAAGUGUGCCAGCUCCUCAUGGCUGAUUUCCAGCAGAACAGCCGGGGGCCCACCAGAGGCAUCGGCAUUAUCCUCAGAGAGACAAUAGAGACAGAACGGGAGCGAUUCUAUUUCCCUCCUCCGCUUAGGCCACGUACAAACAUGUCUAGUUUAAUAGCCAUAUUUCAAGGCUUGUGAGUAACAAUAUAAGCCAUGAGAUUUUGACAUUGGAAGAUGCGUGGUUUAAUGUAAUGCCCCAUGCACAUCUGAUUAUGCCUGUCUUCCUGAGAUGGAGAGAGGUAGUGAGGAAAUGAGUGGAAAAUGACUCACAACUCUAGAGUUUAAUCUCCACAUCCCUCUUCUCACUUCUGGGGUACGGCAAGGAUGAGUCACCAGACUAUGAGCUGGGAGCACAUGAGGGAUGAGGAGCCCAUCCUGAAAUAUAAUCAGGUGGAUGCUGCCUUUAUGAUGAAUGGUGUCUGCAUAAUGCUUGCAUUUUCAGGUUGCCAAAGUCAGGAUUGCAAUUGUUCAAUGACUCAAUUUAAAUAGGCCUACACAUGCAACAGAUCAUGUUGGAAUUAAAUCGAUUUUUUUCUGAAGAUGCCUGUAGAUUUGUAUUUGUUUUCAUCAUGCUAAGAGACCAUAGGUACAAUUGCGUCCUAUUUAUGUGUGAAGUGUUGUUUGUACAGUAUGUGUGUGAGUGUGUACUUAUCAUUUGUAUGUGUUUGUGUGCCAGCCCUCUCCAGUCCCUUCUCUUAUUGGCUCUAUUUGGAUGAAAUUGCCGUGUCUGCAGGGUAGUGACAGCGCAAGUGCUUGGUGGUCACAGGAGGGUCUUUCCUGUUUGUUACCCAAAGGGGCUGAAUCUGGAAAUAUGCCUCCCUAGAGGAAGUGGUGGUGGCUGUGAGACCUAGGGAGGGCCAUCCUCUCUCAUCCGAAGAGAGGUGAAGCCGCCUCUUUGUUCCUCACAGAUGGCCACACAGAUGGUUCCUGCUGACCCGUUCAUAUGACUGAAAACAGGGCUAAUACUGUAUGGCACAUUUCCAUACAGGAUUUACCCCAGUGCUUUACCCAAAAGGCUCAAACUUUCCAUCUACGCAGGCCGACAGCCGUGUCUCACUGGGCCAUGGCUCCGGCGGACAUGCUCUCACUUGGAGCCAAAGCCAGGCC